UACGUAGGGGGCGAGCGUUGUCCGAAGUUACUGGGCGUAAAGCGCGCGUAGGCGGGUUGUUAAGUGAGGGGUGAAAGGUUCGGGCUCAACCCGGACACUGCCUUCGAUACUGGAGAGCUCGAGUCCGGGAGAGGUGAGUGGAACUGCGAGUGUAGAGGUGAAAUUCGUAGAUAUUCGCAAGAACACCAGUGGCGAAGGCGGCUCACUGGCCCGGUACUGACGCUGAGGUGCGAAAGCGUGGGGAGCAAACAGG
Molecule: ribosomal RNA, 253 nt
Filed under: uncultured bacterium
Lineage: Bacteria
Description: partial 16S ribosomal RNA
Rfam family: Bacterial small subunit ribosomal RNA
Source: RNAcentral